UGAACGCUAGCGACAGGCUUAACACAUGCAAGUCGAGGGGCAGCAUAAAAGUAGCAAUACUUGGUGGCGACCGGCGCACGGGUGAGUAACGCGUAUGCAACCUACCUAUCAGAGGGGAAUAACCCGGCGAAAGUCGGACUAAUACCGCAUAAAACAGGGGCACCGCAUGGUGAUAUUUGUUAAAGAAAUUCGCUGAUAGAUGGGCAUGCGUUCCAUUAGGUAGUUGGUGAGGUAACGGCUCACCAAGCCGACGAUGGAUAGGGGAACUGAGAGGUUGGUCCCCCACACUGGUACUGAGACACGGACCAGACUCCUACGGGAGGCAGCAGUGAGGAAUAUUGGUCAAUGGGCGGGAGCCUGAACCAGCCAAGUCGCCGUGAAGGAAGAAGGAUCUAUGGUUCGUAAACUUCUUUUGCAGGGGAAUAAAGUGCAGGACGUGUCCUGUUUUGUAUGUACCCUGAGAAUAAGGAUCGGCUAACUCCGUGCCAGCCGCCGC
This 496-nucleotide ribosomal RNA is filed under the name uncultured bacterium. RNAcentral describes it as "bacterial SSU rRNA". It matches the Rfam family "Bacterial small subunit ribosomal RNA", at positions 30 to 518 of the family's 1533-position model. The record is from RNAcentral.